Molecule: transfer RNA, 73 nt
Filed under: Diretmoides veriginae
Lineage: Eukaryota; Metazoa; Chordata; Actinopteri; Trachichthyiformes; Diretmidae
Description: tRNA-Val
Rfam family: tRNA
About the family: Transfer RNA (tRNA) molecules are approximately 80 nucleotides in length. Their secondary structure includes four short double-helical elements and three loops (D, anti-codon, and T loops).
Source: RNAcentral
CAGGGUGUAGCUAAGCUUAGAAAAGCAUCUCCCUUACACCGAGAAGUCGCCCGUGCAAACCGAGCCACCCUGA